RNAcentral lists this ribosomal RNA (468 nucleotides) under uncultured bacterium. RNAcentral's name for it is "partial 16S ribosomal RNA". It matches the Rfam family "Bacterial small subunit ribosomal RNA", at positions 28 to 507 of the family's 1533-position model. The record is from RNAcentral.
AGCGAACGCUGGCGGCGUGCUUAACACAUGCAAGUCGAACGGCAAGGCCCUGCUUGUGUGGGGUGCUCGAGUGGCGAACGGGUGAGUAACACGUGAGUAACCUACCCUUGACUUUGGGAUAACUUCAGGAAACUGGAGCUAAUACCAGAUAGCAGCUCCUGCUGCGUGGUGGGGGUUGGAAAGUUUCGGCGGUUGGGGAUGGACUCGCGGCUAAUGAGCUUGUUAGUGGGCUAGUGGCUUACCAAGGCUUGGAAGGGUCGCCGGCAUGAGAGGGUGACCGGCCACAUUGCGACUGAGAUACGGCGCAGACUCCUACGGGAGGCAGCAGUGGGGAAUAUUGCACAAUGGGCGGAAGCCUGAUGCAGCAACGCCGCGUGCGUGAUGACGGUCUUCUGGGUGUAAACCGCAUUAGCCUGUGACGAAGCGUGAGUGACGGUAAUGGGUAAAGAAGCACCGGCUAACUACGUG